RNAcentral lists this unclassified non-coding RNA (200 nucleotides) under soil metagenome. RNAcentral's name for it is "partial contains internal transcribed spacer 2 and large subunit ribosomal RNA". The record is from RNAcentral.
AUUAUCAACCAUCAAGCUCUGCUUGGCAUUGAGUGUCACCUCCCCCCACGGGGUGGGCGCGCUUCAAACCGGUCGGCGGUGGCUCAGGCCUCUUAAGCGUUAGUACUACUUCCCGCUUCUAGAGCCUGUGGUCGCCCGCCUCCAAAACCCAACACCUCAAGGUUGACCUCGGAUCAGGUAGGGAUACCCGCUGAACUUAA